This is a long non-coding RNA of Physeter macrocephalus (sperm whale), 244 nucleotides long. RefSeq lists it as uncharacterized. Lineage: Eukaryota; Metazoa; Chordata; Mammalia; Artiodactyla; Physeteridae. The transcript has 3 exons. The record is from RefSeq and is a predicted model, not a curated record.
CAAAGCAGAUCCUGAGAGGAGGAUCCACUACAAGUGACUCACUGGGGAACUUUGGAAUACCAGUAAGAAAGGGAGGCAGACAAUACAGGGACUGGACACCAUGGGACACAUCUAUAUCUCAAUACCACCUCUGGCCUAGACAUGGAUGUCAUAAGAGCACAGGCUCCGGACACGCAGACUCAGCGGCCAUGGCUCACUGGCCCAGCCGCUCCGUGGCAUGUGGGAUCUUCCCGGACCAGGGCAC